Long non-coding RNA from Quercus lobata, 702 nucleotides. RefSeq lists it as uncharacterized. The transcript has 4 exons. NCBI's taxonomy places the organism in Eukaryota, Viridiplantae, Streptophyta, Magnoliopsida, Fagales, Fagaceae. The record is from RefSeq and is a predicted model, not a curated record.
UUGCAUAAAUUAAUGUGGCCAUUCUACAAUGCUCUAUGAGAGUCCACCGCUUACCAUUAGUCCAAUUUUCUAGGCUCCUCUAAUUGCACCAAGAGAGGCCAUUUUCAGCCAAACAUCUGUCCCUUCCAAAUUUAUGGUUCAAAACUUUGGUAGACCAGACAACCGGAAAUUAUACCUUUUAAAUCAAUUGUUGUGUUGUAAUGCUUAAACAAAUUAUUUGACCCAUGGAAAUUAUGACUAUUUAUGUUUUCUAAGUUGGUGUUUAGCUUUGCUUGAAGCUUCAAGAAAAGUUAAUUUCAGAGAUCUCUUAAGACAAGGCUUGCAUCUAGAAGGUUUAAUAAGUGGACAUAUAUACUCAAUGCUUACUCAAAUUUGCGUAUAAAAAAGCUUAUGAAUUUUAAGGAGAAAGAUGGCUUUUCAUUUUGAUUGGUGAUGAACUGGACUAAUUAUACCACUCACCAGUGGCAUGGAAUCUUUGAGUUAAGGUGAAAAGGGUUGCAUUGGUGAGCUUCUUUUGUAUUUCUCUUGCCUUUCGAAGGGCACGAGACUGAGGAUGUAUACUUUUAUAAUGCUUGGCCUACAUGAGAUGGAGUUUCUACUAAUGAACAAUUAGAUGCUUGCAGUGCACACAAGAUUGAGAUAGGGCUGAUGAAUAACAUUAUAUGUAAUAACAUUAUAACCUUAGUUCACCAAGUUCAAGGU